RNAcentral lists this unclassified non-coding RNA (85 nucleotides) under Brevibacillus centrosporus. Lineage: Bacteria; Bacillati; Bacillota; Bacilli; Caryophanales; Paenibacillaceae. The record is from RNAcentral.
GAACGCCGUGUGCGAUGAAAGUCGCUCGCACGGUGUGGGCUCGAACGAAACCCUUAGCAGAAUGGGAUAAGUCGAGAAUAGCAAU